This 270-nucleotide ribosomal RNA is filed under the name uncultured bacterium. RNAcentral describes it as "partial 16S ribosomal RNA". It matches the Rfam family "Bacterial small subunit ribosomal RNA", at positions 524 to 796 of the family's 1533-position model. The record is from RNAcentral.
UACGGAGGGUGCGAGCGUUAAUCGGAAUUACUGGCGUAAGCGCACGCAGGCGGUUUGUUAAGCAAGAUGUGAAAGCCCCGGGCUCAACCUGGGAACUGCAUUUUGAACUGGCAGACUAGAGUCUUGGAGAGGGGGUGGAAUUCCAGGUGUAGCGGUGAAAUGCGUAGAGAUCUGGAGGAACAUCAGUGGCGAAGGCGGCCCCUGGCCAAAGCACUGACGCUCAUGUGCGAAAGUGUGGGUAGCGAACAGGAUUAGAUACCCGCGUAGUCC